GCCUGGGGGCGGGCGGGUGCGCGCGCGCGCGGAGGAACCGCGGCUCGGACCGGGACUGGGAGCUAAGCCGCACUGGGAGGGCGUUUAAGGGGAGGACCCGGCGAGCGCGCCCCCGGCAGGCGAGCGCGCGCCCGGCGAUUAGAACUUGCCGCGCGGUGGGGAAAGGGUGGCCGGAGUGAGGGGCGGGGGUGACGGCUUGCGCCUCCGCACGCCCCUCCCUCUCUUCCUUCCCCUGAGCGCCUCGGCUGGCCGCUGCCCCCGCCCCCUCCAGCGCGCCCCUUCCCUCCUGCCGCAGCCUGCGAUUGGCUGAGAGGCUCUGACGUCCGUGUUUCCAUGACGUGUUGGUGCAGGAGGGAGCGGCGGGGGAGGAGGGGGUGGCUCAGGCGCGCGGGGAGGUGACUCCGUCAGUCACAGCUGCUGUUUCGGCGCGGGGCCGGGCCGCUGCCGCGACGUGUGGAGGCAGGAGAGUGAUGAUUGCCGCAGGAGAAGUGCGGGCGCCCUUCACCUGGGGCCCCUCCCGAACCGCCCCCGGGCCCAUGCCCCUCCAGGGCCCAGGAGCGAGCCAGCGGGAGGGCGAGGGCGAGCGCUCCUGGCGAGGACAGAUUAAGGCGAACCCCCAGUCAGCGGACAUUUGAGCGGUUCCUCGCCGCGUCUCUGCCCCCACUCCAAACCGGACUCGACGCCUGUCCCGGGCCGUGACGCACGCACCCGACGACAAAAGUGCUUCUCGGCUCGCUCCCUCUUUGGGGAAGAGAGCUCACUCCCCAUGCGGGCGCGGGGCACCCCAUCUCUGUUCCUGCCGGUGGGGUCCGCAAACACCGGGGAUCCCGGCUGCAGCGCCCAAAGGGUUAACGCAGGCGUUCGGCCAGUGCAAACCGGCCUCACAGGAUCCGCGCUUAAAAUCCGGGUGUUUUCAUUUUGGGUUUGUUUCUUCUACUAUGCCAAGCUGGUGGUUCUCUUUUAAUUCUCUUGUAACAUCUCAACCCUGCACCCAUCUUUCCUGAGGGGAAAAGGAAACGGGAUAACUUGCGGUAUUUCGAUGCUCAAAGGUAACCGGCGGCUCUGCUCAAACCUUCAAGAGAUUUUGCAAGUUGAAAAAAAAAAACAAAAACCAUCCUUCGUAACAUCUACUUAAAAAAAAAGCAAGUUUUCCUUCUUGUACACACAUAUACACAGUAAAGAUGUGUAUCUUACCUAAGAUACCGCGCUUCAUCUUCAUCUAAUCUUUAUUUGAACUCACCGUCGCCACUGGCCCAGAGACCUUGUCAGUGUUAUUUUCAGUAUCAGUUAAUCAGAACAAAAAUAUAAGUUCUGCAAUCUUCUUUCUCUUAAUUCCAGAACUGGAAAAUUAAUAUUUGUAUAGCCUCCUCAAAAGCAUACAGGCAAUAGGAAGUAUGGUAUUAUAUUCACGAUCUGUUGAUAGCAUUUGUUUUAAAAUAUUUUAAAAGAUUAGACACAAAAUGUGUAAAAGACAUUUAAAAGUGAAUAAAUAUAAAUCAAUGCUGUUGCAAAUAAUUUUUUUAUCAGUUUAUGUAUCUCACUAGGCUAGACAUUACCAGCCUUCUGAGCUGUGCCCUUGAUGUGUAAGAUGAACAAACAUUGGACAGAAUGAUAGCAUUUUUCCUCUCUUCAGUCACUGAUGGAGAAUUGAUUAAUGUGGUACAAUAAAUAGCCCUUCCUGAAACUAUUUCAAAUCUUUUUAACAGAAGGAUAACCUAAAUUUCACCUAAUAAAUUUCAGUAUUAUUUCCCUCUAAAAUAUCUUUCAAAACGAUUCAGAGACAUUUAAGAAUCACUGGCUUUUUUCCAACGUUUCCUCCAAGGAAGUCACAAUACAAUGUUGAAUUAUGUAUUCUACUUUAAUCAAGAAUUUGACAUUAAAGUAAUAUGUGAAUCAUUGCUAUAGUACACUAGCAAAAUGGGUAAUAGAUUAAACUAGAAUCUGUUCACUUUGUGGGUUUGUUCCAGUUCCAGAUUAUAAAAUGAAUGCUCUUAAAGUGUUGUGGUCAUGAAACAAUUAUUGAGCAUCUUUAAGAACACGAUUCAAUUAAAUUUUCAUUUAUAUCGAUAAAUCUAUAAAUGAAGCACACGGAAUAUAUAUUCAUGUAUAUCUAUAAGUGAAAACUUGUGUGUGUGUGUGUGUAUCCCAGAACAUAUUUGUAUGCAUUUUAAUGAAAUGUGAGUCAUAUGCAAUGACAAACUUUUACUGUCAUAGUCAAGAAAAUUGUACUGUAGUUUGGUUUUUAUAUUUUUAUUCUUCAAAUAGGAAAUAAAGGGUGAAAGCAAUAUAGAAAUAACUGUUCACAUUACAUUAAGCAAUUCAAUUUUUUUCUCCCACAGGCUUAGUACUAAAGCCCCCUUCAUACAUGUUUUUCAAUGUAAAAAUCAAGAAAAUAUUGCAUUGCUUACUGUUUCCUUGAAAAAAAAUUGAACUAUCUGAAAUCAAAGAUGCCACUGUAUGUAACAGUAUUCUCUUAAUCUUAGACCUAACUUAUCCCAUGCGUUUAACUGAUGUAGAGAUGUAUCUAUGCAUAAGGAACAAUAUAAUAAUACAAUUUACUGAGGAAAUAAUAUUUUAAAGUUCUUUUAAUAUGCAUUUUAGCUACAAUGCAAAACUUAUAAAAGUAUUUAAAUCCAGUCAGGUGCGGUGGCUCACGCCUGUAAUCCCAGCACUUUGGGAGACGGAGGCAGGCAGAUCACGAGGUCCGGAGACUGAGACCAUCCUGGCCAACAUGGUGAAACCCCGUCUCUACUAAAAAUACAAAAAUUAGCUGGGCGUGGUGGCGCUUGCCUGUAAUUCCAGCUACUCAGGAGGCUGAGGCAGGAGAAUCGCUUGAACCAGGGAGUCCAAGGUUGCACCGAGCCGAGAUCGCACCACUGCACUCCAGCCUGGCGACAGAAUAAGAACAAUGGAAUGAAGCCAAUUCACCAAUCAUCAAAAGAAAGUCACUGAAAACAAAUUUGUUGACCUAUGUAUUGUUGGUGUCAGAGGAAAAGGGGUCAAGCGAGGAAAGCUGAAAAGUGCUGGCGAGUGAGUGGAGAGUUAAAAGGAAGCGCAGUGUCACGCUCAGAGACUGCUUUCUUACAGUCUCAGCAGUCUCUUUGGUCUUCUAUGCCUCUCCUUAAGUUCUCUCAAGAGCUGUUCUCUUCAAGAUCCAGGUGCUUCUGCUGUUCUGCUCAAUUGUUAAAAGAAAGAAAGAAAGAAAGCGUCAUAAUUUUUAAGAAGAUUGGAAUCACCAGGACUUGUUUUCUUACCCAUUUCUCUCUUACUUCUAUAAUACUCAUAUUCUGUGGCUUUAGCAAAGUCCUCCUACUCUGAGAUUAAAAACUCUAAUUUGUAACUUAGGCCAUUAUAAAAUGUAUGCUAGAGGACUACUCUAGUUUUUAAAUAUGGUACUUAUAAACACAGCAUUAUUAGAAGUCAAGAAUGUUUCCAACUUCUGUGUUUGUCAUGUAUGUGUCUAGGCCUCUAUAGUAAACUGCUUUACCCUUGACCUCUAGCUACGUUUUCUCCUCCUCCUUCUAAUUGCUCCAAGCUUUCUUCUUAGGUCAUUGCAAGCUGUCCUACUUCUUCCCUGGUACACUUAUGUUCUGUAUACUUGGACUGCCUGCCUGUUCUCAAGUUUAUUUCUCAUCCUUAUUUGGAAAGUACAGAACUUGAGAAUGGUAAACAAAAUCGAUAUUCUUUGUUAUUUGGUAGGCAAGUAACUAAUUUAAGACUUAAAACAGAAGUAUAAAUUAUUAUAACAGUUAAAAGUGGUUGAGUGCCAAUUUUGUGCUUUUAGCUGUAGAAAAGAAAAUCAUUUUCUUACAAAACUGUGACUAUACACUGUUGGUAAUAAAGUAUUCAUGCUAAUCAUGUUCAUAAGAUUGUAACAGAAAUGCUGAUAUUCUAAUAUCUCCAUUUCUCCCCCUAUGGUACUUAGUAAACUAUGGAACUAGAUACUAGUCUAGAGCAUUUUUUUCUUUCUCAUAUUAUAUUUAGGUCAUUUUAAUACUAAUUGUAACUAAAAAGUAAGCAUUUUCUAAAACUAUUUCUAUUACCAAUGAAAAAUUGUGUUGAAUGCUAAUACUAAUUAUUUGUCAGUGGUAACCUUUUGUUAAAAGAAUUCUUUUGUUCAUACUAGGCAGGACAGAAACUGAUCCGGCAAGAGAGACAGAUAAAUCUAAAUUUCUGUAGCACUUUUUUCUCUCAAUAUAAAUAUUUAAUUAUGUAAUGAGAAAUUCUUAUGAAAAAUUGUGACAUACAAUGGGAUUGAUUCUUUCUCUGUAAGUAGGGCACUAGUCAUGUAUCUGAGAAAGAAAUUAAAACUUUUAAAGUAUUUUUAAGUGAUGGAUCUAUUCUAGGCACUUUAAAAUAUUCUCUUUAAUUGUCACUGUACCCUACAAACUAGAUAUUAUCAUCCCUAUUUCACAGAUGAGUAAUUAAGGUGAAAUAACUUGCCCACAGCUGCACAGUUAAUACUAGGAAGAGCCAGAGGUAUGACACAGGGCUGAUUCUAAAGCUCAUGUCCUUUCCAUCUUCUUAAAAUAGGCCCCUCUGCUCAUUCUUCAGGAGAAAAUCAGCCUUGCAAUAUAUUAUAAUACCUACCACGAGAGCCUUGUGGUUUGGUGGAUAAGGAUGUGGGAUCUGAGGUUAAACUGAAUUUGGAGCUCAAUCCUGUCACUCAUUGAUUGUGUAAUCUUGAACAUUACUUGAUGUCUCUGUGCUUCAAUUUCAUCAUCUGUAAAAAAGGGGUGAUAACAAUAAUAUCCACUCAGUAGUGUGGUUUGUAAGGACUACAUGAGGGAAUACACAUAAAGUUCUCAAUAAAGUGGUCAAUACAUAGUGUUCAAUGGACAUUUUCCAGGAGUUUGUUCUCCCUAUAAAAGUUGGUCUUUUUGUGGGUAGAGAAAAGAUGUAUGGGUUGUAAAUUCCUUUCUUCUUAGCCACUUAUGUCUGGCUGAUUUGGAAAUCACUGCUUGUUUUAGAUCCCUGCCAGAUUUUACAUGUUCAUUUUUUGUUCCUUUCAUGCAUCGUAGAAGAUUAAAAAUGCCCAUAAAUUAUUUGCUAAUUCACCCUUUGAGAAGAUUUUCCUUCUCUUGAAUAUAUGCUAGACUUAGUGACUUACUUGAUAAACAGAAUAUUGCAGAGUGGGACUUUUAAGGCUAAAUAAAAGGAGUCUUGCAUCUUUUGUCCACAUCUCUUUGAAUGCUUCUCCGGGAGUCCUCAACCAUCAGGUGAGAAGUCUGACUGCCUUGAAAUGUUGGAAAGGCCAUGUGUAGGCACUCUGGUCAUCAGAUCCAGCUAAGUCCAGUUUUCCAGUCAUCCCUGACAAGGUGUCAGACAUCUAAGGAAAGCAGUCUUGGACCCUCCAGACCGAUCUGGAUAUCACUGAAGAUGCUUAGUUGACAGAAUAAUCUCCCAGCUGAGCCCUGCUUUAAUUUCUGACCCCCAAAAUUAUGAGAUAUAAUGAAAUGGUUGUUGUUUUAAGCCACUACAUUUUGGGGUAAUUUGUUACAUAGCACUCAAUAACUGAAACAUGCAUUUAUUUAUUUUCAAUGAAACUCUUGUGCAAAAAACUGUUCUAGGUAGUGGGGAAUGAUGCAUCUAUGAACAACUUUAGCAUGAUCACUGAUCUCAUGAAGGUUACUGUCUUAGCCAGGGUUCUCCAGAGAAACAGAACCAACAAGAUAAGUAUAUACAGAUAUGUAUACAUAAAAGGAGAUUUAUUAUAGGAAUUGGUUCACAUAGUUAUGGAGGUCAAGAAGUCCAACAAUCUGCUGUUUGCAAGCUGAGGAACAAAGAAAGCCAGUGGUGGAAUUUAGUCAGAGGCCAAAGACCUGAGAAUUGGGGUAUGUGUGAGGGAAUGAGCAGAUAGUGUAAAUCCCAGUCUGAGUCAGAAAUCUCAAGAACCAGGAACACCAAUGUCCAAGUGUAGGAGAAAAUGGAUGUCUUAGCUCAAACUGAGAAGAAAAUUCACCCUUCCUUUGCCUUUUUAUUCUAUUCAGACCCUCAAUAGAUUGGAUAAUGCCCGUUCACAUUGGGGAGAGUCAUCUGCUGUACUCAGAUUGCCAGUUCAAAUGCAAAUAUUGCUAAU
Long non-coding RNA from Symphalangus syndactylus (siamang), 6079 nucleotides. RefSeq lists it as uncharacterized. The record is from RefSeq and is a predicted model, not a curated record. NCBI's taxonomy places the organism in Eukaryota, Metazoa, Chordata, Mammalia, Primates, Hylobatidae.